UGAAAAUAUUUAUUCAUCAUUCUUCUAAAUAGCCCAAUCACUUAACAAAGAAAUGCCUCAAAGGCCAAGGCCAAGCAUGGGUGUCAUUUUCAUCAGGGAAUCAGUAGAUAGGCUCAUCCCUGAGAUCCAAGAAGACAUGGUGAGGCAAGAGAGGAACAUUCACUGUAUCGCACGCAUAUUGCAGAUUCUCCUUUGUAGGGACGGUUCAAAUAUUUACCACAGUAUUAACCCAGAAUACUCCCUCCUUGUGAUCCUUCUCCCCAUGUAAUUAAUUCUUUUUGUUUCGUUAAUGAAAAAAAGAUGUAUGUUAUUAGGAGGGGAGUUAUUUAAUAAAAUAAUUAACUUAAGUUUCUAUCUAUUUAAUUUUCUAUUUUUAUUUUUGUGUAUCGUUGUUUUUUAUUUGAAAGCAAAGGCCCCAAAAUAAAAUAAUGAUGUUUCAAUAGAAACAUACAGCUCAGGGGAUACAAAUUUGAGUCUUUCAAUUAUUUGAAUUACCCACCAAUGAUGUGAAAUUUUGCUAGAGUUGUAGAAUAAACCUACUGUAUAUA
RNAcentral lists this long non-coding RNA (548 nucleotides) under Nicotiana benthamiana. RNAcentral's name for it is "long non-coding RNA (NBEN_LNC004318)". The record is from RNAcentral. Lineage: Eukaryota; Viridiplantae; Streptophyta; Magnoliopsida; Solanales; Solanaceae.